UACGGAGGGUGCAAGCGUUAUCCGGAUUCACUGGGUUUAAAGGGUGCGUAGGUGGAUUGGUAAGUCCGUGGUGAAAUCCCCAAGCUUAACUUGGGAACUGCCGUGGAUACUAUCAAUCUUGAAUAUCGUUGAGGUAAGCGGAAUAUGUCAUGUAGCGGUGAAAUGCUCAGAUAUGACAUAGAACACCGAUAGCGAAGGCAGCUUGCUAAGCGAUUAUUGACACUGAGGCACGUAAGCGUGGGGAGCAAACAGG
This 253-nucleotide ribosomal RNA is filed under the name uncultured bacterium. RNAcentral describes it as "partial 16S ribosomal RNA". It matches the Rfam family "Bacterial small subunit ribosomal RNA", at positions 524 to 776 of the family's 1533-position model. The record is from RNAcentral.